This 383-nucleotide unclassified non-coding RNA is filed under the name Hevea brasiliensis (rubber tree). The record is from RNAcentral. Lineage: Eukaryota; Viridiplantae; Streptophyta; Magnoliopsida; Malpighiales; Euphorbiaceae.
CUGCCCUCCACUCUCACCUGUCUUAAAAUCCAAAGAAUUCGAAAUCUGGAAUCUCUCAACUACGAGGGGCUUAUAAACCUAAGAAAGUUAAUCAUCGGCUGCUUCCCUAACCUCCGGUCCGUGCCAGAACGCAUGCAAGUGCUCCUCCCUUCUCUUGUGGAAUUGGAAAUAUUUGAUUGUCCAAAACUGGAACCGUCUCUAAAAGGAGGUUUGCCCCCUCAAUUAAAGUCACUUUUUAUCUGUGGCUGCCAAGAAGCCAUUGCUGGGCUAGUGAAACGCGAUUUUCGGGCGCUACCAAACAAUGAAGUGGAAUCCUUACCAGAAGAGACGCUGUUGCCCUCCUCUCUUACCUAUCUUAAAAUCUGGAAUUUUGACAAUCUCAA